AAACAAAUUACCCGAGGGAAUAAUGUCUGAGGAAAACCUUUAGGCGUACUACAGUAUUGGUAUACUAUUUGCUUAAUCGACUUGGCGAAAUUCUAUCUCCUUCGUGUGUGACAGUGCGAUUGUCCGCGAACCUUUUUUUUUUUUUGAUUUACGCCCGUUUUCUAAGUCGGCGACGAAAGAAAAACGACGGGGAUCGCGACGUCAGAUACGUCAACGGCGGAGUGACUAAUUGUGAUAAAUAUUUGAUUCGGGGAUUUCACGGCUAUGAUCGUCUAUUCACACGAAUACAUUGUGUGCAGAUCCGGAGAUAAAUCACCGUAAUUUGGUAACACACUGAAGUUGAUACGUAAACAGAAGGGGUGAAGUAUCCGGGUUAACCCCUUCUCCGAAUUUCUACGAAAGUUGUAAAUUCUAUGCAACAUUACGUAAAUUGUAUUAUGCGUAAUAUUGUUUGUCAAUUUUGUAUGAACCCUUCCCACCUCCCGAAUUUCGUUUUGUGUACGUACUCGUGUUCGUGCCAAAUAUAGUAUUACCCCAUUCUUUUGAUAUAUUACUAUUUACAUUUAUACCGCCAGAAAAUCGCCAGAGAGACAAUCGAUAAAUUACUAUACUUACAUCAAAAGGUUGCCAGGUUCUGCUCCACGCCGAAUAUUGCGUUGAAU
Molecule: non-coding RNA, 662 nt
Organism: Cinara cedri
Lineage: Eukaryota; Metazoa; Arthropoda; Insecta; Hemiptera; Aphididae
Source: the annotation of a GenBank genome assembly